GCCAGACUCCUACGGGAGGCAGCAGUGGGGAAUAUUGCACAAUGGGGGAAACCCUGAUGCAGCGACGCCGCGUGAGCGAUGAAGUAUUUCGGUAUGUAAAGCUCUAUCAGCAGGGAAGAAGAUGACGGUACCUGACUAAGAAGCCCCGGCUAACUACGUGCCAGCAGCCGCGGUAAUACGUAGGGGGCAAGCGUUAUCCGGAUUUACUGGGUGUAAAGGGAGCGUAGACGGCGAUGCAAGCCAGAUGUGAAAGGCCGGGGCUCAACCCCGGGACUGCUCUGGAAACUGCGUCGCUGGAGUACGGGAGGGGCAGGCGGAAUUCCUGGUGUAGCGGUGAAAUGCGUAGAUAUCAGGAGGAACACCGGCGGCGAAGGCGGCCUGCUGGGCCGUGACUGACGUUGAGGCUCGAGAGCGUGGGGAGCAAACAGGAUUAGAUACCCGGGUAUA
This 447-nucleotide ribosomal RNA is filed under the name uncultured bacterium. Its description in RNAcentral is "bacterial SSU rRNA". It matches the Rfam family "Bacterial small subunit ribosomal RNA", at positions 330 to 794 of the family's 1533-position model. The record is from RNAcentral.